GGAGGAGCAGGUAAAGGAUCAGGAUUAUCACUUGGAGUUUCUGUCAGGGGAUGGUUGACAGUCAAGAAUUCUUGUGAUGCCAUUGGAAUGUCAACUGGUUCAUCAGCUACUAUAUCGAACAGGCUGGACCGCCUUUUUCUCCUGGAAACAUUGCUUUGCCUGAUGAAAUAUUUUUGUGCAUGACUGGCCACCUGAGUAGGUGUCCU
This 206-nucleotide unclassified non-coding RNA is filed under the name Hevea brasiliensis (rubber tree). The record is from RNAcentral. Lineage: Eukaryota; Viridiplantae; Streptophyta; Magnoliopsida; Malpighiales; Euphorbiaceae.